RNAcentral lists this ribosomal RNA (253 nucleotides) under uncultured bacterium. Its description in RNAcentral is "partial 16S ribosomal RNA". It matches the Rfam family "Bacterial small subunit ribosomal RNA", at positions 524 to 776 of the family's 1533-position model. The record is from RNAcentral.
UACGUAGGGGGCAAGCGUUGUCCGGAUUUAUUGGGCGUAAAGAGCGUGUAGGCGGCCAUACAGGUCCGUUGUGAAAACUCGAGGCUCAACCUCGAGACGUCGAUGGAAACCGUAUGGCUAGAGUCCGGAAGAGGAGAGUGGAAUUCCUGGUGUAGCGGUGAAAUGCGCAGAUAUCAGGAAGAACACCCGUGGCUAAGGCGGCUCUCUAGUACGGUACUGACGCUGAGACGCGAAAGCGUGGGGAGCGAACAGG